UAUAAUUAAUAUUAUUUUAAAUUUUAAGUUAUUAAAUGUUAAAUCAUUAAAUUAAAAAGAUUUGGCGGUAUUUUAAAUAAUUAGAGGAACCUGUAUAGUAAUUGAUAGUCCACAAUAAGAUUAACUUAAUUAAAAAUUUAUGUAUUGCUGUUUUUAGAUUAUUAUUAAUUAAAUUUUUAAAUUUUUAAAUUUUAAUUUAAUUCAAGUCAAAAUAUAGUUUAUUUAAGAAUUAAUAUGGGUUACAAUUUUUUUUAUAAUGGAUAGAAUUAAUUUAAAUUAUUUUUAAAACAGGAUUUAAUAGUAAAUUUAAUAAAUUAAUUAUUUUGAAAUAAAAAUGAAAUAAGU
This 345-nucleotide ribosomal RNA is filed under the name Asteloeca ujhelyii. RNAcentral describes it as "partial 12S ribosomal RNA". Lineage: Eukaryota; Metazoa; Arthropoda; Insecta; Hymenoptera; Vespidae. The record is from RNAcentral.